This 426-nucleotide ribosomal RNA is filed under the name uncultured bacterium. RNAcentral's name for it is "bacterial SSU rRNA". It matches the Rfam family "Bacterial small subunit ribosomal RNA", at positions 354 to 796 of the family's 1533-position model. The record is from RNAcentral.
GUGGGGAAUCUUGCGCAAUGGGCGAAAGCCUGACGCAGCCAUGCCGCGUGAAUGAUGAAGGUCUUAGGAUUGUAAAGUUCUUUCGCUCGUGACGAUGAUGACGGUAACGAGAGAAGAAGCCCCGGCUAACUUCGUGCCAGCAGCCGCGGUAAUACGAAGGGGGCUAGCGUUGUUCGGAAUUACUGGGCGUAAAGCGCGCGUAGGCGGCUUUGCAAGCCAGAGGUGAAAUGCCUGAGCUCAACUUAGGAAUUGCCUUUGGGACUGCGAGGCUUCGAGGACUGGAGAGGUGAGUGGAAUUCCCAGUGUAGAGGUGAAAUUCGUAGAUAUUGGGAAGAACACCGGUGGCGAAGGCGGCUCACUGGCCAGUUUCUGACGCUAAAGCGCGAAAGCGUGGGGAUCAAACAGGAUUAGAAACCCGAGUAGUCC